Long non-coding RNA from Dendronephthya gigantea, 235 nucleotides. RefSeq lists it as uncharacterized. NCBI's taxonomy places the organism in Eukaryota, Metazoa, Cnidaria, Anthozoa, Malacalcyonacea, Nephtheidae. The transcript has 3 exons. The record is from RefSeq and is a predicted model, not a curated record.
GAUGCUGGCGGUAAAUAUUCAGAUGAUUGGGAAGACAUUGAAAAUGAAAGAAAGGUUCAAAUUAUGAUUGAAAUACCUGAACUGUUAAAAUCUACUUGCAAGGAUGAGGUGAAUAGAUUUUUGAAUGAUAUUGAAGAGUUACUGAAUGAAAACGUUGCCAUAAAGCCAGAAAAUACAGAGCAAAAAUGUGAUAACCUAAACCUGGAGUGCGGAAUGGAACCAGAGCAAUGUACAU